UUGCCAGUUAUGAGUGAGUGCCACGUUGCUUUGACAGUGUUGAAGUUUUGAGUCAACAUUCCAACAUCCUUGCCAAGAGAGUAAAUAUUAUUCCCAGGUAAAAAUGUAUAAAUAGUUUAUAUAUAGUGAGCAAAUCACUGAUAUUUUUCAUUUGCUUUAUAUAGAAACAUUUAUAAAACAAUGAAAAUAUAUCAUUGCCUUGUCCUCUAUAUAUAAACCAGUUGUAUCCUAUAUAUAACCUUUUUACCUGGGAUGUUUACCAAAAAAUUUGACAUCAGAACCCUUGACAAAACAAGAUGUUCUCCACAUGAGCACUGACAGAAGUUUUUUGUUGCCUUGGUGCUAGAUCAUCUCGAAGAGGGGUCGGGACCCCAUUACCCUUCUCAUUUCCUAUCCUUUGGAGGGGCAGCUCUCUCUGUAAUGUACAAAAUAACCGCACCUGGGACACUCCUUUGGUCUCGUGUAUUCCUUCGACGGAGCCAGGUGCAUAAGAGGCUGAAUCGUAUAGCUGUGUGUAUGAUAAAUCCAUUAUUCAAAGGCUGAUACCUCGAUACCUUCCCUUGUCAGAGACGCCUCCAUAAACCCCAGGCAUCCCCAAUUCAAUGUAUUGUUUUAGAGGGUGGAUUAAUAAGUACCUGUAUUAUGAUUGAAGACGUAAGUUUUUGAGGACAGCUUUUGUCAUAUUUCAACGUAAUCUCCUUUCAUGGGGAUACACUUUUCUCAAAGUUCUAGCCGUUUCUUCAAACACUCUAAAAAUAUUAUUGAUUAAAUUCGUAAAAAUAGACUUCUGUGUCGAUAAUGAUCUCUUCGUUUAAGCUGAUCUUUUUCCCACAAGCCACGUUUUCAUGUUGGGGAACCUAAAAAAGUCGCAAGAAGCCAGGUCCGGCCAGUAUGGUGGAAGUGGUAACAAAUCGUAGCGAAAUUCAUGCAAUUUUACCGCGACGAUUCCGGACGUGUAGGCUAGUGCAUCAUCAUGAUGGUAGUGCAUCCUUUCUCCACAAUGUCUAUGAGAAUUAGUCCACUCGAAUCCCAAAAAGUCGUAGCCAUGACAUUCCCGGCUGACAGAACCGUCUUUGCCUUCUUUGCUGCAGAUUCGCCUAGAAAAAUCUAUUGUUUUGAUUAUCGUUUCGUCUCUGGCGUAUAAUAAUUAAUCCAGGUUUCACCAGCGGUGAUGAUUCGAUAAAAAAAAAUCCUGUGGUUUUUGCUGAAAGGUCCACAUUCUGCUUCGAAGUUGGCAUCCGUAUCGGCUUGUUGUUCACGGUGAUCCAUCGCGACAGCACACUUUCGUUCGGCGAUCAGCAAGAAUCAUAUCAUAGAACUUUUCUACGAUUUCCGCAGUAACCACGUCUUCUGGGCGGCCUGGGCGCUCCGCACGUACAACCACGUUUAAAUUCUUUAAACCACUAUUUCACGGUUGUCAAAGAUAGUGAAAGGUCCUCAUAAACAUUAUCUAAUUUAGCUUUUAUUUCGUAACACUUUUUUUCCAUCAAAAAAUUAGAAGCGAAUUAUGGAUCGAAAUUGUUAUUUCACUAAAACGGAACACCAAACACGUUUGAUAUAAAUCGCUGUCAAAUCAAAACUGAUUCAUGAAUUAAUCUGUGCUUCUGUGUUUCGUAAUUUAGAAGAUAAUCUUUAACAAGGUUAAUGUCUUUAAACAUGAGUACUUAUUGAUCCACCCUCUAUACUGGAUUUAUGUGUGCAUCUUUAUUAUAUUUAUUACAAAUAUGAUGCUAUUCACGUCAAUAUUGAUCGGCGAAAUGACAUUGAUCAUGGCGUCCAUUAAGAAAAAAAAGCAGUAUCAUUGAAAGUUUAACUUUUAACGAUUUUUGUUUUUUCUUUUAUUAAAUUCAUGCUAAUUGAUGUAUUACCAAAAAAUUAUAUCUCUUUAUGUGAGAAAAUAAAAUAAGAAACGAGCGCGUUUAAUUUUAAUGUAAAGGGAGCGUUGAUACGGCAGCUAUCCUUCCUAAACAUUCAAAACCUUCUGUUUUUGUAUAAAUGAAAAAAAUGCGACUGUACCGUUGUCAAGAAUAAGGAAACUACCCACGAUGAAGACUUGUGGAAUUCAAUAAGAUUUUAUUGUACAUAUAUUUAUAAAUAAUAAACUUGAAAAUGCAACUAGUGAUUAAAGAAUACUAAUUACCUUAUUUAAUGCAUCUCUUAGUGUAAAAGUUAAAUGUUUUUAGUACGAGUUGCUCUUUCAAUUUUGGAUCCAUGAAUACUGAUUAUUGUAAACAAAAACAGAAGGGUUAUAAUAUUUACUGCUUUUUCUGUUAGAUUGGAAAAAUAUUUUUUGGAACUAGGACCUCAAAAUAUAUUUUUAAAUACAUUCAAAAAUUAUUUAAUGCAAUAAAAUAUUUUUUCAUAUCCAGAAAAUUAGUUUUGCAUAGAUCUUCCGAUAAUUAACAAAAAAAUUAUGUAUUCUUGUUUCACAAUAUAGAAAUUCAAAACUUUUUACGUUCUACAAUGUGAAAACUUAAUCUCAACAUACUUGUAACUUGUUUUGAAUUCCUAAAUUGUGAUUGCAAUAUAAAAAUUAGUGUUAGCUAGCCCCGGACUUGUAGAGAUAAAACUUAAAAUCAAAUACAGUUCAACAAAUUAAUUAAGUUGUAGAAACUUUUAUUUUCCCUAAUAGUUAAUAUAAGAUUAAAGGAUUCUUAUGCGAAAAAUCUCUAAACCUUCUGUUUAACUUCAUAAUGUUUUUAUAAUAUAUUUCAGUGUCGAAGAAUGAAUUCAUAUAUAUGCGCCAAAGUAGCAAUAGUUAAGAAGAAAAAGUUUCAUAAAAGCAAGAUUGUAGGGAAAAUAAAUUGUAAUAGCAUUAAUUCAGGGGAAAAAUAUUAUAAUGUCAAUAGUUACGACGAAAAUGUUCUUAUUCAUUUUAAAUAUUGAAAUCGUAAUUAAACGUAUUUUUGGCAGUCAUUUUCCACCACUUUUGCCAUUUGUGAUAAAUUAUUCAAAGCGAACACCUUUCCUUUAUAUGAACCUGAAUUUGCUAUUCAAAUUCCUCAUAAGCAGACAUUUAUGCACCAAAAAUCAUAUCACAGAAUCCAGAAAUCAAAAUAGAAUAGCCAUUGGCUUCCUCUAUUGCAAAAAAUUGAGGUCAAUUUUUGACUUAAACAUGUCCUAAAAAUGCAUUAAUUAGGUCUAUAAUUGUCAUUAACGGCAAUUGAAAAGGACCGUAAAAAAAUUUGGUUUCUGUUCUUUCUGUGUGUAAAAUAAAAGCAUAAUAAAAUGAUACGAGUGUAUCUCGUGGUGUGGUCUCAGAAUGAUAGCAUGAGGGAUUAAUUUUCCAAUCCUCAGAUCCUUCUGGUGUUUGAUAUUCGUUUAUUCUUAUGGUAAAACAGAGUAUACAAAAAUUUGGUAUAAUCGAUGCCGAAAUACGUUUAGAAAAGAGUAAAACCAUUUAAAUGGCAAAUUUUUGUGUAUUUUUUUACAAGGAACUCUUGAAUUAAUGGUAUUAUUGUUCAACAAAUAAUUAAAUACUGCAUUCUUCAAAUAUAUAAAUCACUUAAAUGAAUUGUUAUUAUAUCUUCACAUAAAUUACUGUUUUUACUCUCUCAACGAUAUUUUCUGCAUAUUAAAAAAUGUAAUUUUGAUUUAGAAUUUACUGAUGCAUUCAAUUACGACGAAAUAAAAAUUAGAAAGAAUGUUUUCAACAUUGUGUAGAAUGGGAAAA
Long non-coding RNA from Belonocnema kinseyi, 3673 nucleotides. RefSeq lists it as uncharacterized. The transcript is spliced from 3 exons. The record is from RefSeq and is a predicted model, not a curated record. Lineage: Eukaryota; Metazoa; Arthropoda; Insecta; Hymenoptera; Cynipidae.